UAACGGCAUAUACUUAGAUAUUUCUCCCCCUUUUUGACAACAUCAAAAAAAUAGGGAAACAUUAAGCACAAAGAUAAGAACACUCAAAUAUUUCUUUCCCUUAUUGUACUCUGAUUGGAAUGUUAAAUUAUUGCAAGGAUAUGAAUCAUAUAACUUAAGGCAAUAAUAUUGGAAUCAGAUUAGUGAGCACAGAUCAGAGCCAAUUAAGAUAGUUUUCAAAACAGAACACAUUAAAUGUGAUUUCAAGAAGUUUUCUAAUUUGAUACCAUAGAUAGUUUUCUAAUCAAGUGUAGAUGGCAUCUUCCUUAGGUUAAUUCAAGAAGUCCUACAAAUGAUAUUCAAAGAAAACACGAGUGGAAAUCUAACUUCUCUUCACUAAGUAUGAAAGCUUGUUCAUAAAAAUAUGAAUUGGCACACAAUUUAAGUUCUAAAGAUCAAGUCAAUUAGGACUUAUUAGUGAUUAUCAAAAUAGAUUUUCUAAAAGAUACUCAAGAAAAUUUUACACGUUAUUCUCCCCCUUUUUCAUUAAAUUAGAGGCUCUUAAGAUUUGUAAUUUGGUUCAUGAGUGAUGCAUAAGAUAUACUAACCAAAUAAC
This 595-nucleotide long non-coding RNA is filed under the name Phoenix dactylifera (date palm). RNAcentral describes it as "long non-coding RNA (PDAC_LNC002063)". The record is from RNAcentral. Lineage: Eukaryota; Viridiplantae; Streptophyta; Magnoliopsida; Arecales; Arecaceae.